UACGUAGGAUGCAAGCGUUGUCCGGAAUUAUUGGGCGUAAAGAGCGCGCAGGCGGUUUGUCAAGUCAGAUGUGAAAUAGCCGGGCUUAACCCGGAGGGGUCAUUCGAAACUGGCAGACUAGAGUGCAGCAGAGGAUAGCGGAAUUCCCGGUGUAGUGGUGAAAUGCGUAGAUAUCGGGAGGAACACCAGUGGCGAAGGCGGCUAUCUGGGCUGCAACUGACGCUGAGGCGCGAAGGCUAGGGGAGCAAACAGG
Molecule: ribosomal RNA, 253 nt
Filed under: uncultured bacterium
Lineage: Bacteria
Description: partial 16S ribosomal RNA
Rfam family: Bacterial small subunit ribosomal RNA
Source: RNAcentral